UAACCAGAAAUAUUGAUUAACCCUGUAAUACAGGAAAUUACUAUUAACUGUCGUGAAAUCUGUGAACAUGGCUCGGUGUUACGUGUAAAUUGUGCUACCUGCCUGGUUAAGCUAUGUAAUGGUUUAGCUAAAGAUGAGUAUAACAGCCUCUGUCCUCUGAUUGAAAAGGAGAUAGUGGAGAGAGAUCAUGCACCUUGGUUUAAUGCGGAAAUACUGAGGGCAAAAAGAGAGAAGAAGAAAAAAGAAAGACUGUGGCGUAGGCAAAAAACAGAUGAGGCAAGAAGAGCAUACAGGAGGCGAGAAAGCAAGAAAAUCGGCUUGUGAUAAAACGGAAAAGGGAAUACUAUCGGAAUAAGGUUGUGGAGGCAGGGCCUAACAUGAAUAAAUCCUAACCCACUUAGCCAGUGGGUACCUCUUUGGCCGACUGGUAAAGGAGUGGCUUUCCCGUUACGCUGGUCGCGGGUUCGAUCCCCGGCGCCGGCAAAAGCUUUCCUUGUCUGGAUUAAUUUCUCGUGUGUUUCGUUACACGCAGAGGCCGUGUGGGAGUGUAGUAAAGAGAAAAUUGUGGCAUUUCAACACAGUACAGAACAGUAUAGACUCUAUGAGCCCAGGGUCAACCUGGAACUGGGUUUGAGAGCAUUUGAGAAGAGUGCCCCGCGGCUCUAUAAUGAGUCACCCGGGGACGUUAAGAACAGUGACAGUCUGGCAGUGUUGAAGAAAGCGCUGAAGACUCACUUGUUCACUAAAUCCUACGACUUAACAAAUAUGAGGAUUGAGGACAAGUUGAGGUGCUAAUAUUACUGUUAUAAUGUUAGCGGCCCUGUGGAGCGCUGGCGGACCGGGGCCUGAAAGCUCAUCAACGGUAAACGGUAUGAUAGAGCUGUAUAAAAUGUUUUCAGAUUGCGAUAACUUAGACGUGGAUACUUUCUUUACACUAGAGGAGGGCAACUCUAGAUGGUCUGAGUCCCGCAGCAAAGUGUGCCAGAUGUGUGACGCCUGGCUGGGAGAAACCUCGAGCCUCCUGUGACAUCAAGAUCAAGACCAAGAUCAGGCCCCGAGAUUUGAUUUUCUCUUCUCUGUUCUUUGGAAACACACGAUCAAUUAAUCAAGCCAAGGAGAGGGUGUUCCCCGGCUGCCUGGGACGUGACGGGAGAGCCAAAGAGGAUAGCCGGCGUGUGGGAUGGGUGGAAGGUCCAACAUUGCCUCUCUCGUGUUCAAGCCGCCUGGCGCUCCCGUCUCAUCACUGGGAAGGACUACUGGCCAUGAGUGUAGCGUUGAGGAAUACUUGCUGCCCCCUCGCCCUCAAAGCUGGCCUGCAGCCUGAGUGGCCAGGAGCAGCGGAGCAGACUGUCACUGGUGUGAGGACCAAGGCCUGAUCAGAAGGACCACCACCACCGUGCUGCUGCCUUCUCCAGCCAUAAAGGAAGGGAAAGGUUGAGUGUCAGGACUGUAGGACAAUUUGAUAGGGGAGAGGAAGUUCAUCAGACACAGCCUUGCACACACUGGUUCAGGAAACCAUGAGAGCCAGGAGUGUGAGAAAAGCCUCCCUGGGAAGGGUGACUUUGACUAAGACACUCACUCAUUCUGCUGAAAGAAAUCAUGAUUGUGCAGUUUGUGGGGAAAGUUUCAGCAAGAAGGGUAAACUCAAGACACACAUUCUUACACACACUGCUGAAAAAAAUCAUGAAUGUGAAGUUUGUGGGAAAAGAUUUAAUCGGAAGAGUCACCUCAAUGCACACAUCCUUACACACACUGGUGAGAGAAAUCAUGAAUGUGAAGUUUGUGGGAAAAAAUUUA
RNA transcript from Eriocheir sinensis (Chinese mitten crab), 1797 nucleotides. RefSeq lists it as uncharacterized. The record is from RefSeq and is a predicted model, not a curated record. NCBI's taxonomy places the organism in Eukaryota, Metazoa, Arthropoda, Malacostraca, Decapoda, Varunidae. The transcript is spliced from 3 exons.